GAUGAACGCUGGCGGCGUGCCUAAUACAUGCAAGUCGAGCGAACAGACGAGGAGCUUGCUCCUCUGACGUUAGCGGCGGACGGGUGAGUAACACGUGGAUAACCUACCUAUAAGACUGGGAUAACUUCGGGAAACCGGAGCUAAUACCGGAUAAUAUAUUGAACCGCAUGGUUCAAUAGUGAAAGACGGUUUUGCUGUCACUUAUAGAUGGAUCCGCGCCGCAUUAGCUAGUUGGUAAGGUAACGGCUUACCAAGGCAACGAUGCGUAGCCGACCUGAGAGGGUGAUCGGCCACACUGGAAGUGAGACACGGUCCAGACGCCUACGGGAGGCAGCAGUAUGGAAUCUUCCGCAAUGGGCGAAAGCCUUACGGAGCAACGCCGCGUGAGUGAUGAAGGUCUUCGGAUCGGAAAACUCUGUUAUUAGUGAAGAACAAAUGUGGAAGUAACUAUGCACGUCUUGACGGUACCUGAUCAGAAAGCCACGGCUAACUACGUG
This 497-nucleotide ribosomal RNA is filed under the name uncultured bacterium. Its description in RNAcentral is "partial 16S ribosomal RNA". It matches the Rfam family "Bacterial small subunit ribosomal RNA", at positions 28 to 507 of the family's 1533-position model. The record is from RNAcentral.